Absidia repens is the source of this 47-nucleotide non-coding RNA. The record is from Rfam. Lineage: Eukaryota; Fungi; Mucoromycota; Mucoromycetes; Mucorales; Cunninghamellaceae.
ACAAAGGUUUUUUUUAUAACCACCAAAUUAUCAAGUUAUCAAGUUAU